This 199-nucleotide non-coding RNA is filed under the name Deltaproteobacteria bacterium. RNAcentral describes it as "6S RNA". It matches the Rfam family "6S / SsrS RNA". Rfam says of the family: E. coli 6S RNA was the first non coding RNA to be sequenced, but its function was unknown until recently. It consists of 184 nucleotides that fold into an extended hairpin structure with a large single-stranded internal bulge. The 6S RNA specifically associates with RNA polymerase holoenzyme containing the sigma70 specificity factor. Lineage: Bacteria; Pseudomonadati; Myxococcota; Myxococcia. The record is from RNAcentral.
CUUCCCCUGCGUGGAUUGCGUGAUGGGUAGCUGACCUCGUGCCCGAUAGCUGUAUUCAGGGGUCCUGACAUUCCGUGGUGUGCAAGCCCCCGCCGCGCUCUGCGCGGUCACCGGGGAAGCCUGAAGCGGGAGAACAGGGAUCCCACCUGCGAUAGCAGGGCACCACCGAUGCUGCUCACACGGCCAAGGCGGGGGUUUU